GACGAACGCUGGCGGCGUGCUUAACACAUGCAAGUCGAGCGGUAAGGCCCUUUCGGGGGUACGACGAGCGGCGAACGGGUAGAGUAACACGUGGGUGACCUGCCCUCAGCUCUGGGAUAAGCCUGGGAAACCGGGUCUAAUACCGGAUAUGACUCCAUGACGCAUGUUGUGGGGUGGAAAGCCUUGUGCGGCUGAGGAUGGGCCCGCGGCCUAUCAGCUUGUUGGUGGGGUGAUGGCCUACCAAGGCGACGACGGGUAGCCGGCCUGAGAGGGCGACCGGCCACACUGGGACUGAGACACGGCCCAGACUCCUACGGGAGGCAGCAGUGGGGAAUCUUGCGCAAUGGGCGAAAGCCUGACGCAGCGACGCCGCGUGAGGGAUGACGGCCUGUGU
This 394-nucleotide ribosomal RNA is filed under the name uncultured bacterium. Its description in RNAcentral is "bacterial SSU rRNA". It matches the Rfam family "Bacterial small subunit ribosomal RNA", at positions 28 to 421 of the family's 1533-position model. The record is from RNAcentral.